UAGGGAAUUUUCGGCAAUGGGCGAAAGCCUGACCGAGCAACGCCGCGUGAGGGAAGAAGGUCUUCGGAUCGUAAACCUUUGUCUUUGGGGACGAGAGAGGACGGUACCCAAGGAGGAAGCCACGGCUAACUACGUGCCAGCAGCCGCGGUAAUACGUAGGUGGCGAGCGUUGUCCGGAAUUACUGGGCGUAAAGGGCGUGUAGGCGGUUUUUUAAGUCAGGCGUGAAAACCCAAGGCUUAACCAUGGGAUUGCGUUUGAGACUGAAAGACUUGAGGAUCGGAGAGGGCAGUGGAAUUCCCAGUGUAGCGGUGAAAUGCGUAGAUAUUGGGAGGAACACCAGUGGCGAAGGCGGCUGCCUGGACGACACCUGACGCUGAGGCGCGAAAGCCAGGGGAGCAAACGGG
RNAcentral lists this ribosomal RNA (405 nucleotides) under uncultured bacterium. RNAcentral's name for it is "bacterial SSU rRNA". It matches the Rfam family "Bacterial small subunit ribosomal RNA", at positions 355 to 776 of the family's 1533-position model. The record is from RNAcentral.